This 483-nucleotide ribosomal RNA is filed under the name uncultured bacterium. Its description in RNAcentral is "partial 16S ribosomal RNA". It matches the Rfam family "Bacterial small subunit ribosomal RNA", at positions 30 to 506 of the family's 1533-position model. The record is from RNAcentral.
AUUGAACGCUGGCGGCAGGCCUAACACAUGCAAGUCGAGCGGAUGAAGGGAGCUUGCUCCUGGAUUCAGCGGCGGACGGGUGAGUAAUGCCUAGGAAUCUGCCUGGUAGUGGGGGAUAACGUCCGGAAACGGGCGCUAAUACCGCAUACGUCCUGAGGGAGAAAGUGGGGGAUCUUCGGACCUCACGCUAUCAGAUGAGCCUAGGUCGGAUUAGCUAGUUGGUGGGGUAAAGGCCUACCAAGGCGACGAUCCGUAACUGGUCUGAGAGGAUGAUCAGUCACACUGGAACUGAGACACGGUCCAGACUCCUACGGGAGGCAGCAGUGGGGAAUAUUGGACAAUGGGCGAAAGCCUGAUCCAGCCAUGCCGCGUGUGUGAAGAAGGUCUUCGGAUUGAAAAGCACUUUAAGUUGGGAGGAAGGGCAGUAAGUUAAUACCUUGCUGUUUUGACGUUACCAACAGAAUAAGCACCGGCUAACUUCGU